CCUGGACAAGAUAAAGCAAGCAGUUUGACACAUACAACAACACAGAGUUACACAUGGAGUAAAACAAACAUACAGUCAAUAAUAUAGUAGAAAAAUAAGUCUAUAUACAAAGUGAGCAAAUGAGGUGAGAUAAGGGAGGUAAAGGCAAAAAAAGCCAUGGUGGCAAAGUAAAUACAAUAUAGCAAGUAAAACACUGGAAUGGUAGAUUUGCAGUGGAAGAAAGUGCAAAGUAGAAAUAGAAAUAAUAGGGUGCAAAUGAGCUAAAUAAAUAAAUACAGUAGGGGAAGUAGUAGUUGUUUGGGCUAAAUUAUAGAUGGGCUAUGUACAGGUGCAGUAAUCUGUGAGCUGCUCUGACAGCUGGUGCUUAAAGCUAGUGAGGGAGAUAAGUGUUUCCAGUUUCAGAGAUUUUUGUAGUUCGUUCCAGUCAUUGGCAGCAGAGAACUGGAAGGAGAGGUGGCCGAAGGAGGAAUUGGCUUUGGGGGUGACCAGAGAGAUAUACCUGCUGGAGCGCGUGCUACAGGUGGGUGCUGCUAUGGUGACCAGCGAGCUGAGAUAAGGGGGGACUUUACCUAGCAGGGUCUUGUAGAUGACCUGGAGCCAGUGGGUUUGGCGACGAGUAUGAAGCGAGGGCCAGCCAACGAGAGCGUACAGGUCGCAGUGGUGUGUAGUAUAUGGGGCUUUGGUGACAAAACGGAUGGCACUGUGAUAGACUGCAUCCAAUUUAUUGAGUAGGGUGUUGGAGGCUAUUUUGUAAAUGACAUCGCCGAAGUCGAGGAUCGGUAGGAUGGCCAGUUUUACGAGGCUGUUGGAUGGAAUGGAUGUGUUGCUGAUGAACACACCUGCAGCAGGAGUUUGAGGCUGAGAGCCUCAUAGGGACGUUCAGAAAUCUAACAGCAGAACAAUUCAGGAGGCUUGGCAACCUGACGUGUCUGUCAGACCCAAAGGACCUGCGGGUGUACAGAAACGCAGAGGCCUUCUCUGUGAUUCAGGACAACAUUAGGACGUGUUGUCCGGGGCCUCAGGAGCCCCAGGGACAUGGUAAGUGGAGCUGUCACAGACAGACACAGACUGACGCUGUUAUUCCUUACCAUAGAACUACUUUAUUUUUCACCGCAAAAUUCAAGGUGAAACUCAUAUGUGUAUGAGUGAACUAGAUUAAUCUAUGGGUUGAAUGUCUUGUGUUUGCACUUUGUGUGAUUCCUGUGUAAAUAUAUGUGUGUGUUACGCUUGUGACCAUCCCUCUUCAGAUCUCCAGCUUGUUCCUGAAUGGGAUUGAGCUUCAGUCUACUGGCUCUCUCUCAGCUGCCUCCCUUCUUGCCCUGGCUGGGUGUGGACUUCCUACAGAAGCUCAGCCCUGUGCUGACAGCCCUGGCCUCUGUACCCUUCACUCCUGCACAGGCCAGUGUAAUUGUGGACAAAGUGUCUCUAAACAACAGUCUGGCUCUGCCGGGGCAGCUGCAGAAGCUGGGCUCCCUGGUGAGUGGGGUGAAGGUUGAGACUCUGUGGAGCUUGCCCUCUGACAUCCUGUUGUCCUCGCUGCCUGACAUCGCCCUGCACACCCCCGGCUUCAACCCCCCACAGGCCAACACCAUCACCACCAAACUCUGGGUACGGCCUUAGAGGGACACACCAACACUGACCCCCAUCCUCACAAACAGCGACAUGCUCACUCAUACUAAAUGAAGACAAUCGACAAGGUACACAGUAACGUGGCUUCAGCCGUACGCUGCUACUCUUGGCUCAGUGGGAGGUAUGUUUACAAGGCUCUAUCAGUAUGCAUGCAUGACCAUAACCAAUGGAGAGUGAACAGAGAGGAGGAGAGAAAGGUGGAGUGUGGAGGGGGACCACAGCUGGCAUGCCCAGGUGUACCCAGGAUCCUUGCCCUGCCUGGCAGUCAGAUGGGGGUGAUGUGGCCCUGUCCCAGCUGGAGCUGUAUGCUCCAUAAGGACCAGAGCCAGGUAUAGACUGACACACUGUGCAGGCUCAGCAUUGGGCUGUUUCUUAGAGAGGAGGUGCCAACUAUGUAUGAAUGAGGUCACUCUGAGACGUUUGUAAUUACCCCUCUUUUGUUUGCCCGAGUUAUCUUUUUAUGGGUUGUGAACAUGUAUUUACAUUCCACCAACAUAUUGUGUGUACCGCUAGUGUUUGUCAGAAGCCUAUUUAGUCACCAUUGAAAUCCACUUUAUAUCUACGUGUUUACCUUUCAAUUGGUGUCGUUUAGUCACUAUACUCUGUCUGUGUUGUGUUGACCUUUGUCCAGGACUCACCAGAGGUGACUGGCUGGUUGGAUAAGGUGGAGCCCCUGCUCCACAGCACCCCUCUACUCAGUGUGCUGACCAGGGCUAGUCUGCUGUUGACCAACAGGACCUUGGCAGGAAGACGAGCCUGGAACACUCAGCAGGUAACGUCUAUGACCUGACUCCUGUCCUCUCUGCUCCAGCAAUACCUGUGACCUGCAAGUCGUUUUCAAGGGGAUACAAUUCAUGCAUAUCAGUAUAGGAACAUCUAUCUAUCCCUAAAUACUUAGUGAUUUU
RNAcentral lists this long non-coding RNA (2534 nucleotides) under Salmo salar (Atlantic salmon). RNAcentral's name for it is "lncRNA (ENSSSAG00000102980.1)". Lineage: Eukaryota; Metazoa; Chordata; Actinopteri; Salmoniformes; Salmonidae. The record is from RNAcentral.